CCUUUAGGAGGGGGAUAACAGAGUGAAAACGCUGCUAAUACCCCAUAUGCUUUCGAGUGAAAUGGAUUUAUUCGCCUAAAGAGAAGCUCGCGGCUGAUUAGCUUGUUGGUAAGGUAAUGGCUUACCAAGGCGACGAUCAGUAUCUGGUUUGAGAGGACGAUCAGACACACUGGAACUGAGACACGGUCCAGACUCCUACGGGAGGCAGCAGUGGGGAAUUUUCCGCAAUGGGCGAAAGCCUGACGGAGCAAUACCGCGUGAGGGAUGACUGCCUAUGGGUUGUAAACCUCUUUUCUCAGGGAGGAAAUCAAUGACGUUACCUGAGGAAUAAGCAUCGGCUAACUCCGUGCCAGCAGCCGCGGUAAGACGGAGGAUGCAAGUGUUAUCCGGAAUCACUGGGCGUAAAGCGUCUGUAGGUGGCUUAACAAGUCAACUGUUAAAUCUUGAAGCUCAACUUCGAAAUC
Molecule: ribosomal RNA, 464 nt
Filed under: uncultured Arcocellulus
Lineage: Eukaryota; Bacillariophyta; Thalassiosirophyceae; Cymatosirales; Cymatosiraceae
Description: bacterial SSU rRNA
Rfam family: Bacterial small subunit ribosomal RNA
Source: RNAcentral